RNAcentral lists this long non-coding RNA (284 nucleotides) under Rosa chinensis. RNAcentral describes it as "sRNA RchiOBHm_Chr2g0168481". The record is from RNAcentral. Lineage: Eukaryota; Viridiplantae; Streptophyta; Magnoliopsida; Rosales; Rosaceae.
GUGGAGUUCUUCGAUUUCACAAAUGAUUUCACGGGCUUCCUUGGGAUAUCGAUUUGGGGUUUUAGGGUUUCUUUGGGAUAUCGAAUUGGGGGUUUCCUUUGAAAUUAGAUUUGGGAUAAUGAUUUAGAGACGGGGUGAUUGAAAUAGAAUUGGGUUUUAUUCUGGUUUAUGGAUUUGGGGAUGGUUUAUGGUUCAUUUCGAUUUGGGAUGGUUUAUGGUUAAUCAGAAUCUAAGGCUCUGACUCCUUUCCAAUAAUGCUCCUCCCUCUCAAUCUUCAGCCUCCA